This 490-nucleotide ribosomal RNA is filed under the name uncultured bacterium. RNAcentral describes it as "partial 16S ribosomal RNA". It matches the Rfam family "Bacterial small subunit ribosomal RNA", at positions 28 to 507 of the family's 1533-position model. The record is from RNAcentral.
GAUGAACGCUAGCGACAGGCUUAACACAUGCAAGUCGAGGGGCAGCAUGGUCUUAUCUUGCUACGGCCGAUGGCGACCGGCGCACGGGUGAGUAACACGUAUCCAACCUGCCGUCUACGCUUGGACAGCCUUCUGAAAGGAAGAUUAAGACAAGAUGGCAUCAUGAGUCCGCAUGUUCAUAUGAUUAAAGGUAUUCCGGUAGACGAGGGGGAUGCGUUCCAUUAGAUAGUAGGCGGGGUAACGGCCCACCUAGUCUUCGAUGGCUAGGGGUUCUGAGAGGCAGCCCCCCCACAUUGGAACUGCGACCCGGACCACACUCCGACGGGAGGCAGCAGUGUGGUAUGUUGGUCGAUGAGCGCAGGCCUGACCCAGCCAAGUAGCGUGAAGGAUGACUGCCCUCUGAGUUGUAAACUUCUUUUAAAAAGGAAUAAUGUCGGGUAUGUAGACCCGUUUGCCGGUACUUUAUCAAUAAGGAUCGGCUAACUCCGUG